GGGCAGCGUCGGAGCCUCGGAGGCGGCGGAGCUUGCGGCCUGAGGAGAGCGUCUCGCUCCGGAGCGGCGGCGGCCACCGAGACCCACCCAAAGGCGCGACCCCACCCCGGCCUCCCAGCGCUCCCAGGCCUCAGCGGCCGCGCCCCUUCAGCUGGCUCGCUCGCUCUCCUUCCCUGCUGCCCGCUGCGCCAUGGCGUUGGCAUUGGCGGCGCUAGCGGCGGUCGAGCCGGCCUGCAGCAGCAGGUACCAGCAGUUGCAGAAUGAAGAGUCUGGAGAACCUGAACAGGCUGCAGGUGGUGCUCCACCACCUUACAGCAGCAUUUCUGCAGAAAGCGCAGCAUAUUUUCACUACAAGGAUGAGUCUGGGUUUCCAAAGCCCCCAUCUUACAAUGUGGCUGCAACACUGCCCUGUUAUGAUGAAGCGGAGAGGACCAAGGCUGAAGCUACUAUCCCUUUGGUUCCUGGAAGAGAUGAGGAUUUUGUGGGUCGGGAUGAUUUCCGUGAUGCUGAUCAGCUGAGGAUAGGAAACGAUGGGAUUUUCAUGUUAACUUUUUUCAUGGCAUUCCUCUUUAACUGGAUUGGGUUUUUCCUGUCUUUUUGCCUGACCAUUUCAGCUGCAGGAAGGUAUGGGGCCAUUUCAGGAUUUGGUCGCUCUCUAAUUAAAUGGAUCCUGAUUGUCAGGUUUUCCACCUAUUUUCCUGGGUAUUUUGGUGGUCAGUACUGGCUCUGGUGGGUGUUCCUGCUUUUAGGCUUUCUCCUGUUUCUCAGAGGAUUUAUCAAUUAUGCAAAAGUUCGGAAGAUGCCAGAAACGUUAUUAAACCUCCCCAGGACCAGAGUUCUCUUUAUUUAUUAAAGGUGUUUUCUGGCAAAGGCCUUCCUGCAUUUAUGAAUUCUCUCUCAAGAAGCAAGAGAGCACCUGCAGGAAGUGAAUCAAGAUGCAGAACAGAGGAAGAAUCACCUGCUUUAAAAAAAUAAAGUACUGUUGAAAAGAAAAAAAAAAA
RNA transcript from Sapajus apella (tufted capuchin), 1001 nucleotides. It is a transcript of the gene named NEDD4 family-interacting protein 1 pseudogene, with no coding region annotated. The transcript has a single exon. The record is from RefSeq and is a predicted model, not a curated record. Lineage: Eukaryota; Metazoa; Chordata; Mammalia; Primates; Cebidae.